Molecule: ribosomal RNA, 253 nt
Filed under: uncultured bacterium
Lineage: Bacteria
Description: partial 16S ribosomal RNA
Rfam family: Bacterial small subunit ribosomal RNA
Source: RNAcentral
UACGGAGGGUGCAAGCGUUAUCCGGAAUCACUGGGUUUAAAGGGUGCGUAGGCGGCAUGAUAAGUCAGGGGUGAAAGCUGGCAGCUUAACUGUCAAAUUGCCUUUGAUACUGUUGUGCUUGAAUCAGGUUGAGGUAGGCGGAAUGUGACAUGUAGCGGUGAAAUGCAUAGAUAUGUCAUAGAACACCAAUUGCGUAGGCAGCUUGCUGGGCCUGCAUUGACGCUGAGGCACGACAGCGUGGGGAUCAAACAGG